This 273-nucleotide ribosomal RNA is filed under the name uncultured bacterium. RNAcentral's name for it is "partial 16S ribosomal RNA". It matches the Rfam family "Bacterial small subunit ribosomal RNA", at positions 524 to 796 of the family's 1533-position model. The record is from RNAcentral.
UACGUAGGUGGCAAGCGUUGUCCGGAAUUAUUGGGCGUAAAGCGCGCGCAGGCGGCCUCUUAAGUCUGAUGUGAAAGCCCCCCGGCUCAACCGGGGAGGGCCUUGGAAACUGGGAGGCUUGAGUAUAGGAGAGAAGAGUGGAAUUCCACGUGUAGCGGUGAAAUGCGUAGAGAUGUGGAGGAACACCAGUGGCGAAGGCGACUCUUUGGCCUAUAACUGACGCUGAGGCGCGAAAGCGUGGGGAGCAAACAGGAUUAGAUACCCCGGUAGUCC